This 206-nucleotide ribosomal RNA is filed under the name uncultured bacterium. RNAcentral describes it as "partial 16S ribosomal RNA". It matches the Rfam family "Bacterial small subunit ribosomal RNA", at positions 524 to 722 of the family's 1533-position model. The record is from RNAcentral.
UACGUAGGAGACGAGCGUUGUCCGGAGUUACUGGGCGUAAAGGGUGCGCAGGUGGCGGCGCGCGUGGGGGGGUGAAAUCGCCCGGCUAACUGGGCGGGGGGCCUUCCAGACGGCGUGGCUUGAGCAGCGGAGGGGGGACGUGGAAUUCCGGGUGGGAGCGGUGAAAAUGCGUAGAGAUCCGGAGGGAAACACCCGACGGCGCAGGG